GACGAACGCUGGCGGCGUGCCUAAUACAUGCAAGUAGAACGCUGAAGAGAGGAGCUUGCUCUUCUUGGAUGAGUUGCGAACGGGUAAGUAACGCGUAGGUAACCUGCCUUGUAGCGGGGGAUAACUAUUGGAAACGAUAGCUAAUACCGCAUAACAAUGGAUGACCCAUGUCAUUUAUUUGAAAGGGGCAAAUGCUCCACUACAAGAUGGACCUGCGUUGUAUUAGCUAGUAGGUGAGGUAACGGCUCACCUAGGCGACGAUACAUAGCCGACCUGAGAGGGUGAUCGGCCACACUGGGACUGAGACACGGCCCAGACUCCUACGGGAGGCAGCAGUAGGGAAUCUUCGGCAAUGGGGGCAACCCUGACCGAGCAACGCCGCGUGAGUGAAGAAGGUUUUCGGAUCGUAAAGCUCUGUUGUAAGUCAAGAACGAGUGUGAGAGUGGAAAGUUCACACUGUGACGGUAGCUCACCAGAAAGGGACGGCUAACUACGUG
RNAcentral lists this ribosomal RNA (497 nucleotides) under uncultured bacterium. Its description in RNAcentral is "partial 16S ribosomal RNA". It matches the Rfam family "Bacterial small subunit ribosomal RNA", at positions 28 to 507 of the family's 1533-position model. The record is from RNAcentral.